Molecule: long non-coding RNA, 240 nt
Filed under: Elaeis guineensis (African oil palm)
Lineage: Eukaryota; Viridiplantae; Streptophyta; Magnoliopsida; Arecales; Arecaceae
Description: long non-coding RNA (EGUI_LNC073344)
Source: RNAcentral
CCUCUCCCUGCUGGAUCAAGAAAAGGAUGUCCAAGUUCUUUGGUUGUGCUCAAUUGUUGCCAAAGUACAUGACAAACUACUUCCCAAGUUGCUUAAAUGAAUAAAUUGACUCCUAUUAUAGAUCAAAGUACCAUACCCACACCGGCUUCUUGAGUGUGGCCAAGAAAGCAAGGUAGAGGAGGGCAUCUGAAGCAUCCUAGAGCAUCAUGAGGGCCUUGUAGCCCUCCAAAUGGUCGAGUA